GAGAAGCUUCGACCAAGGUUCGACUCGAGCGAAGCGAGAGAACGUUGCCGCAGGCAAUGGCCCGAAGGGCGAGGCGCUUUAGCGCCGAGUA
This 91-nucleotide small RNA is filed under the name Klebsiella pneumoniae. Its description in RNAcentral is "RtT sRNA". It matches the Rfam family "RtT RNA", at positions 24 to 112 of the family's 130-position model. Rfam says of the family: This family represents a bacterial cis-regulatory element known as RtT RNA. The exact function of RtT is unknown although it is thought that it may be involved in changing the cellular response in relation to amino acid starvation. Lineage: Bacteria; Pseudomonadati; Pseudomonadota; Gammaproteobacteria; Enterobacterales; Enterobacteriaceae. The record is from RNAcentral.